This is a long non-coding RNA of Ricinus communis (castor bean), 2746 nucleotides long. RefSeq lists it as uncharacterized. The record is from RefSeq and is a predicted model, not a curated record. The transcript is spliced from 5 exons. Lineage: Eukaryota; Viridiplantae; Streptophyta; Magnoliopsida; Malpighiales; Euphorbiaceae.
CCUAGGUCAAUUGUAGUAUAAUGAUGCUAAUUUUGAAGUUAUAGAAGCUCUAAAUAAAUUCAAUCAAGAAAGCAUCCAACUGAGAGAAGGGAAAAAGAGCCUCAAGUACCAAAAUGGUAAAUUAUUUCACUUUUUAUUUCUAUUCGAUAAUUCUGCUUUGCUUUGCAUCUUAAAUAUUAUGGGUAAAAUGUAUUUAAUAAUCUUAUUGGGUAUAACAAUAAGAUUUUAGUGAUAAUCUUUCUGUAGGGAGUUUUAAUCUUGCCAAUCCUUUUUUUGGCGUUUUGAACACAAAGAUUAGAUCAGAAAACAAAAUAAUUGAAUCUCAGUGUUUGCACCUUUCUCUGUUUUCCUUCUUAUUUUGAAAAUCCAUUUAGUGGGUUGAUUGUCAAGUAUCUGUUCGGAGUCUUUUCUUUUUAGCUAAUCGUUUUUUAAAAUAUGUUUGUUAAGUAGAUAGAUUAAAGUUAGCCAGUCAUCUUGAUCAUUAGUUUUGGUCUGUGUCUGCCAAUUAGGUCUGGUUGAGAAUAAAAAGUUUCUUCUUACCCAACUCGUCUUUUUAUGGACAGACAUUUAUGGGAAGGAACCUUGAUAACAUAGGUCUGGUUUGGUCAUGUACAUGUGGUUCGACAUUUAUAGAAAUGAAUGUCAGGCUUUGCACGUUUAACUGAUAUUUCAAACCAUUGUUUUUCUAGGGACGUAUGGUUAGAUAUUCAGGAAGAACUCUCAUUGGUGCCUAACUUUUUACUUCUAAUUUCAGCUUAAAACAAAAAGUUUAAAUUUCAGUAAGUUUUUUGGUUGCUAUCCUGUUCUUUUGAUCAAUUUGUUAGGAGAAUGGUAAGGUGAUGCUAGCUUUAUUAGUUUUGUUUGUGGUUUUGAUAUUUUUGACUCAGUAAUUAUAUGUUUUGUGAUUUCUUCUUGCUUUUUUUGGCAACAACAGUUGUCGUUUAUCUAGACUUGAAAAGAGUUCUUCUAGCAUUCCAAUAAUCUCAGUGAGCAAUCCGGAGAAAGGAGCCUUGCGGUUAUGUUCUUAUGAUGAGGGAGUUUCUAUACCUCCUUAUGUGUUUCUGUUUUAGUCAACAGUAUUAACUCCUAAUAUUCUUACUAGAGAAUGUACAAUAAUUUAAGCUAGCUAAGUUGUAUGUAUUUGUAGGGUUCAACACUUUGAAUGUUUGAGGAAGUAUUAUUUUACAUUAAAAUAUAAUUCUUUUUUUUUUUUUUAAUCCUGACUGAUUUGGAACUAUGGAAGGCUGAGAUCUUCUUACCACAUCUUUCAGGUAUUAACUCCAACUAGUGUUGUCAUAGAGCACUAAUCAUGAGGGAGUUCUUUUUUCUUUGAAUAAUGGGUUUUCUAUUUUGAAUAUGAUUAUAUUAGAUUGAUCGAGGGAAGUUAUGGGGUUUCUAAUUCAUUUGGUUCCUUACUUCCCAGAAGUCCCUUUCUCUCAUCAGGUUGUAGGUUAAAGAUUGAAAAAUAAGCUAUUUUGGAUGUCAUUAUCCAUAAUCUUUUAUUUAAUUAAUACUCUUAAGUAGUAGUGAAUUUUGAGUAUUGGCUUUUCUGAGAUCCCACUAGCUUGUGGAGAUAUGGCUGCCAUCAUUGAAAAAUUGGUUCCGUUUUAUAAUUUUGUGAUUUAAUUAAUUGCAUUAUGAUAUUGAGGAGCCCUGUGCAUUGGUUUUUGUUCAUUUCUUAGUCUCUACCAGCUUAUGGAGAAGUGAUAAGUGGCUUUUGUCACUAUGUGCUUCGCUUCUCAAGGCCUUGAUUGCAAUUCUCAAAUUUGGGUACAUUUGAAUAAACUUGACUAUGACUGUUCCUUUCUUUAAAAAAUUAGUUGCAGGCUUGUGCACAGGUUUUUAUUUUGGAUCCUCGUAUGUGGAGCUUGUGUAUUAUUAGCCUCUUUUAAUUCACAGAAUUUGAAUCAUAAGCAUAUUUUUUGCAGAUUGUGACAUGGUUUAUUGUUCUGGCAAUUAGAGGCUCUAUUCUGAUCAUACCAACAAUGCUCUUCUACUGAUUGCUCUUCUCCAGUAAUUUCCACGAUUCUGAGAUCAUCAAAGCCACUGGAAUAGUCACAAAGACUGCUUAGGCUGGGGCUGCCUAUAACCUCCUGCUCUACAUGUUGGCUAAUCAUGUCUUAGGAGCCUCGUGGUAUCUGUUGUCAAUUGAGCGUCAGGUGACGUACUGCAAGUAUGCUUAUAGACAUGAAAGUGCAGUCUCUCUUAUUUGGAUUGUGGUACUUUGAAUAAAGAUGAAAGCAAACUAUGAGGAAACAAUACUCAGGUGUUUAAUGGCUGUGAUCCAAAAAAGUGAGUUCCAUCAGCCAGGGUUUGGAAACUGCAUUUGCUACACUUAUUGCUAUCUCGGGUCUGGUUCUUUUUGCCCAUUUAAUUGGAAAUAUGCAGACUUGCAAAGAGUUCUUCUAGCAUUCCAAUGAUCUCAGUGAGCAAUCCGGAGAAAGGAGCCUUGUGGUUAUGUUCUUAUGAUGAGGGAGUUUCUCUACUACCUUAUGUGUUUCUGUACAAUAAUUUAAGCUAAGCUAAGUUGUAUGUAUUUGUAGGGUUCAACACUUUGAAUGUUUGAGGAGGAAUUAUUUUACAUUGAAAUAUGAUUUUUUUUUCUUAAUCCUGACUGAUUUGGAACUAUGGAAGGCUGAGCUCUUUAUGCUAUUGCCUACUGAUCUUAUGUCUUCCAUUGUCGCAAAACUGUAGUUUUAUUGCAUUAUUAAUAGACAUCAAUAUAUUAUUUUGGGUGAUUGCUCUA